UCCUUAGCAGGGGUGUUUUCUUAGUAGGAACUGUUUUGGCAGGGAGAGCUUCUAAGACUUGUAGAACUUCAAAGGAAGAGGUAAAGAUGAAUGAGCCUUGGCACAACUCAGGAAGACACUGUGGCUAAGGGAUGUUUUGAAGGAUGAGAAGACUUUCGACAGGCAGACAGUGGGAAGAAAGAAGAUCAUGGAAGUAGAAAUGAUCGGCUUUGCAUGACGCCCAGGGCUGCAGUACACAAGCUGGACACCCAUAUCCACUGGCUCUGGAAACGAUCCCGACUUGCUCACGUCAAUGAACAGAAGGUAAAUAAGUCAGCAGGGAUGUGCGGAGUGAGACGCCCAUGGCCCUUUAAACCUGUGGUUCUGGCCUUCAACUGCGAGCUGAAGAUCAUGUGGCAAUGAAGGUGAUUAAACACCGUGGUGGUAGACCCCUGGCUGACUCACAAAAAUCCUUUAAGCCAGCAAUACUUCUUAUGAUUAAUGCACUAAUAGAAAAAGAUUCACAAAAAGAUGCAAGAGGGAAAUAGCUUCUGUGACAAAACCUUUCCUCUUGGGGCAAUCACAAGUGAUCCUUUCACCAAAGCAGCUGCAGAGGUUACAGGCACAGUCAGGUGAGGCCUGGCUAAUGCAUUCAUCCAUGCAUUCAGCCUUGUCUCAGGGCUCCUCCUUACAGAACUGUGGACCUGGCUGUAAGAGCCUAGAAGGUUGAAAGUUCCUCAGUGUGGAACGUCCUUAGCAUGGUUCUGAGUGGUCACUGAGAAGACCUCAACCUCUAACAUGCUCAACACCAGCCUGAGAGUAAUGAGGAAGGGCUGAGGGUCAGUGGGUUUAGCAGAAGCUUUCCUGCCACUGCUGCUUCCCUGGUGGCUCAGGCGGUAAAGCGUCUAUCUACAAUGCAAGGAGACCUGGGUUCGAUCCCUGGGUCGGGAAGAUCUCCUGGAGAAGGAAAUGGCAAUCUACUCCAGUACUAUUCCCUGGAAAAUCCCAUGGACAGAGGAGUCUGGUAGGCUACAGUCCAUGGGGUCACAAAGAGUCGGACACGACUGAGCACACUUUCUUUCUUUUACUGCCACCCAGAGCAGCUGGCACUGUUCUUCAGAAGUCUGUUUCUCUCAUAGUCGCUUGGACUCCUAUUUAGAAGCAACUCCCCCAACUGCACCCCCAGGGACCAUGAAAACUUCACACCAGGCAUUAGAGCAGCCCCAUAAGGAAACAUGUGGCUCAGGCACAAGACAACUUAUUAAAACCACUCCACCCUGAUGCAAACACACCUACCCAUUAUAGAGAUGUGAUGCAAGAGCACAGGCUAAGCAAAGCCAAUAAGGACACAGAGGGAGGACAGGAGGGAGAAGGUGAGAUGCACAGAGAGAGUAACAUAGAAAUUUACAAUACCAUAUGUAAA
This 1402-nucleotide long non-coding RNA is filed under the name Bos indicus x Bos taurus (hybrid cattle). Its description in RNAcentral is "lncRNA (ENSBIXG00000005390.1)". The record is from RNAcentral. Lineage: Eukaryota; Metazoa; Chordata; Mammalia; Artiodactyla; Bovidae.